GCCCGCAUGGCUAAGUGGUAUAGCGUAUCACUAGUAAAAAAGCGACUUCCGGGGAGUUCUCUCCCUUCGAGGUCGUGCUAGGAUAAUGAUAAGGUCAUCAGUUCGAUUCUGAUUGUGGGCA
Non-coding RNA from Diplogelasinospora grovesii, 121 nucleotides. NCBI's taxonomy places the organism in Eukaryota, Fungi, Ascomycota, Sordariomycetes, Sordariales, Diplogelasinosporaceae. The record is from the annotation of a GenBank genome assembly.